RNAcentral lists this microRNA precursor (87 nucleotides) under Chlorocebus sabaeus (green monkey). Its description in RNAcentral is "mir-515 microRNA precursor family". It matches the Rfam family "mir-515 microRNA precursor family". Lineage: Eukaryota; Metazoa; Chordata; Mammalia; Primates; Cercopithecidae. The record is from Rfam by way of RNAcentral.
UCUCAGGCUGUGACCCUCUAGAGGGAAGCGCUUUCUGUGGUCUGAAAGAAAAGAAAGUGCUUCCUUUUAGAGGGUUACUGUUUGAGA